RNAcentral lists this ribosomal RNA (300 nucleotides) under uncultured Jhaorihella sp. RNAcentral's name for it is "bacterial SSU rRNA". It matches the Rfam family "Bacterial small subunit ribosomal RNA", at positions 496 to 795 of the family's 1533-position model. Lineage: Bacteria; Pseudomonadati; Pseudomonadota; Alphaproteobacteria; Rhodobacterales; Paracoccaceae. The record is from RNAcentral.
UACAAAUCGGGUCCAGGAGCCGGGGUAAUAGUGAGGGGGCAAGGGGUAAUCGGAAUGACUGGGCGUAAAGCGUGCGCAGGCGGCUGAUUAAGUCAGAUGUGAAAUCCCUAGGCUCAACCUAGGAACUGCAUUUGAAACUAAUAAACUAGAGUAUCGUAGAGGGAGGUAGAAUUCCAGGUGUAGCGGUGAAAUGCGUAGAUAUCUGGAGGAAUACCAGUGGCGAAGGCGACCUCCUGGACGAAAACUGACGCUCAAGCACGAAAGCAUGGGGAGCAAACAGGAUUAGAUACCCUAGUAGUC